Molecule: ribosomal RNA, 310 nt
Filed under: uncultured eukaryote
Lineage: Eukaryota
Description: partial 18S ribosomal RNA
Rfam family: Eukaryotic small subunit ribosomal RNA
Source: RNAcentral
CCCUUAGAUGUUCUGGGCUGCACGCGUGCCACACUGAUUACUUCAACAAGUGUUUUAACUGGAGAGUUCGCGUAAUCCUGAAAUGUUAUCGUGAUGGGAGUAGAGUAUUGUAUUUGUUAAUCUUUAACGAGGAAUUCCUAGUAAGUGUAGGUUUAUAAGUUGUUCUGAUUACGUCCCUGCCCUUUGUACACACCGCCCGUCGCUCCUACCGAUUGAUUGAUCCGGUGAAUUACAUAGAAUUUUGCGUUUUACAUGACGGAAGAUGAAGUGUUUUAAACCUUAUCAUUUAGAGGAAGGAGAAGUCGUAACA